GAUGAAGAACGCAGCGAAAUGCGAUACUUGGUGUGAAUUGCAGAAUCCCGUGAACCAUCGAGUCUUUGAACGCAAGUUGCGCCUCAAGCCAUUAGGUUGGGGGCACGUCUGCCUGGGCGUCACAUAUCGUUGCCUGAUGCCAGUUUCCUCGUGAUGGGUGACUGUGCAGGGCGAAUGAUGGCUUCCCGUGAGCAUUGUUGCCUCAUGGUUGGUUGAAAAUUGAGUCCUUGGUAGGGAGCGCCGUGAUAGAUGGUGGUUGAGUGACGAACGAGACCCAAUCAUGUGAGACCCCUACCGAAUUUGGCCUUCAUGACCCACAUGCGUCUUUGGAACGCUCAUGACGAGACCUCAGGUCAGGCGGGGCUACCCGCUGAGUUUAAGCAUAUCAAUAAGCGGAGGA
This 400-nucleotide unclassified non-coding RNA is filed under the name soil metagenome. RNAcentral's name for it is "partial contains 5.8S ribosomal RNA, internal transcribed spacer 2, and large subunit ribosomal RNA". The stretch from base 1 to 122 matches the Rfam family "5.8S ribosomal RNA", at positions 35 to 154 of the family's 154-position model. The record is from RNAcentral.